UACCUUUUGUAUCAGGGUUAAUUAAAAAAUUUUUAAUUAAUUAAAUAUCUCGAAAUUAAAAGAGUUAAAUAUAUAAAAUUUUUUUUGUGGAAUUAAAAUUAUUAAUAUAUAUUUAGAGAUUAAAUGUUAUUCAAUUUUAAUGAUAUCUAGUUUUUUUUGAAUUAAAUUUAAUUUAUAUAUUUUAAUAAAAUAAAAUUUUAUUAAAAAUUUUAUUUUUUAAAAUAUAAAUAAUUUAUGGGAUAAACUAUAAAUUAAUUAUAUAAUAAUUUAAAUUUAUAAUUAAAAAGGAUUGAUUUUAAAAUUUAAAAUAUUUAAUAAGUAUUUAAUAAUUUAUUUAUAAAUUUAGAAAGAUUUAUAUAAAAAUUAAAAAAAAAAUAAUUUUAAUAAAAUUAAUUAUAUUAAAAUGAUUAAAUUAGUAAUUAAAAAUGUUUAAAUUAAUUUAAAAAUAAAUAUAUUUUUAAGGAAUUAAGCAAAUUAAUUAUAUUCACCUGUUUAACAAAAACAUGUCUUUUUGAUUAAAAUUUAAAGUCAGUUCUGCUCAAUGAGUAAUUAAAUAGCUGCAGUAUAUUGACUGUACAAAGGUAGCAUAAUCAUUUGUCUUUUAAUUGAAGGCUGGAAUGAAUGAAUCAAUGAAAUAUAAACUGUCUCAAUUUUAUAAAAUAAAUUUAAAUUUUAAGUUAAAAUGCUUAAUUUUAUUUAAGGGACGAUAAGACCCUAUAGAAUUUUAUAUAUUUUUAAUUUAUGAAAGUUAUAUAAUAUAUUUAGUUGGGAGGAUUUUUAAAUUUAAUUAACUUUAAUAUGAUAAAAUAUUGAUUAAUAAAAAUAAAUGAUGUAUAUUUAAUAAUAAUUAGAAUAAAUUACCUUAGGGAUAACAGCGUAAUAUUUUUGGAAAGAUCAAAUUGAAAAAAAUGUUUGCGACCUCGAUGUUGAAUUAAAAUAAAUUAUAAAUGCAGGAGUUUAUAGAUUUAGUCUGUUCGACUAUUAAAAUUUUACAUGAUUUGAGUUCAGAUCGACGUGAGUCAGAUUGGAUUCUAUCUUUAAAAAGAAUUAAAAUUUUUGUACGAAAGGACU
Molecule: ribosomal RNA, 1071 nt
Filed under: Osmia maxschwarzi
Lineage: Eukaryota; Metazoa; Arthropoda; Insecta; Hymenoptera; Megachilidae
Description: partial 16S ribosomal RNA
Rfam family: Archaeal large subunit ribosomal RNA (bases 868-1026)
Source: RNAcentral